RNAcentral lists this small RNA (29 nucleotides) under Bombyx mori (domestic silkworm). RNAcentral's name for it is "ovarian small RNA-37475". The record is from RNAcentral. Lineage: Eukaryota; Metazoa; Arthropoda; Insecta; Lepidoptera; Bombycidae.
UUCUAGGUCCAAUGCGCCAGUGAGCUCUA